RNAcentral lists this long non-coding RNA (19731 nucleotides) under Triticum aestivum (bread wheat). Its description in RNAcentral is "long non-coding RNA (TAES_LNC021465)". The stretch from base 5409 to 5480 matches the Rfam family "tRNA". Lineage: Eukaryota; Viridiplantae; Streptophyta; Magnoliopsida; Poales; Poaceae. The record is from RNAcentral.
UUUUUUUUUUUUUGAAAGGUUUGUUUUGGAUAGUUGACGGUAAUAUCCCAGUUUUCUGACUUGAGGGGGUGAUGUGGCCGAAACUGGGUACUUCAUAGGGUAUCUAUACUUUUUUUUAUUUCGUGUAGGCGUGGCCUAUAAUUCACAAGAUAAUUUAAACAUUUUCUUUCUGAAUCUCCAAUACACGAGGGAUAGAGUGGAAGUCAGCGCCACAUUCAGUUUUAGUGUCGGCGCAUUCAGUUGAUCAGGUUCAGUUACUUGUUCCUUUGUGAUUCAGUCUUCCCGUUUUUUGUUCCUUUGUUCAGUCCCUGUAGCUGGAAAAUUACAGAUGAUAUGAAGCUUUCCAUUCUUCCAUGAUACAGGCUUCCGAGAGCCCUUGGAUCUGAGAUCGAAUGGUUGCAUGGCGUGAUUCUAGACCUACGGGUGUAUCAUUUUUCAGCCACUUUGUUAUUCACUGUGGUUUCGUUCCUCUGUUCAGUCACUGUGGUUGCAUCAUUUUUCAGUCUCUUGAGCCUCUCUUUCCUUCAGUUUUUCAGUUUUCCAGUUUCUUCUGUUUGUUUGAUCUUUUCUAGUCCUCAGCCGCUUAGUUGAAUCACACUUUUACCCCUCUUUCUUUAGCUUCUCAGUGUACCUAAUUUGCUUAACUUCUUUCCUAACUGUCUCAUUUUCGUUUUUUACUCUUUAAUCCUUUGUUAAUUCUUUGUCUUUGCCAUUGAUCAUUCUUUCUCCGGUCGCUGUUUCUUAUCUCUUCAAUCUUCAUUUCUCUUUUUCUUAGUCCUCAAUAUCUCUUUGGUUGGUUGGUCUUCACUCUUCAUAUAAGCAGAUAGUGAUCUGUUGGCACGUCUCCUCCCCUCCCUCGUGUCGCCCCACUCGGGCGACCCGAGGGGUGAAACCCUAACCCCGCCGCCUCCCUUCCCUCGCCGCCGCCCGAGGCAGCUGACGCCGAGCAAGCUUGGUGCGCCGUCGAUGAAGGUGGCGACGGGGCCCUCGCCUCCUCGCCUCGCCCGUGGGGGGACUCUGGAUCUGGGGCGGCGGCCCCGGCUGGUGUGGAGUCGCGGGCUUCGGCAUCCGGUGGCGCGGGCGUGAGUCGGCUGUUCUUAGCCGUGUGGACGGCGAGAUCCCCGAAGACUGCGGGCCAGCUCGCGGCAGUAUCGUCAGCUCCAACUGCGUCAGACCUAGCCGUCCCCUCUGCCCUUCUUCUCCAGCGAGCUCCUCCCCCCCUCCCAGAUCCGAUCUGCCUCGUCAUGGGGUCCCGGUCUGCUUCGGGUGGGAGCGGGUGUCAGGAUGCAGGACCGGGGGAAACCCCCAGCCAGCCAUGCCAGCGGCGACGCCCGUGGGCGCGGCGCACCUUCCCGAAGGCGUCGUUUAGGUCUUGCCCCCCAUCCCCUUCCCCUUUGUCUCCCAGGAGAAAUCCUCAAUUUUGUUGGGCAGCGGCGACGCCCUUGGCGCUGUAACCUUCUUGAAGGCGCUGUUUUGGGAACAAAGAUGGGUUGUGGGCUUCGUUGUGGUGUAGGUGGAGUGUAUCGGCGGCGGCAGCAUGCGUCCAGCGGUGGCGGUGUCUCCCUUGGUGCUGGGUCAAGUUGUUUUGGUGCUCUUCGACGGGCUGCAGUUUAUUCCUCCGAUGCCCUUGGAUCUUCCAGGACGGGAGGGGAUAGGGUUCCCCUCCUACGGUGGCUGCACUACAGGUCGUCGAGCGAGCCGAAGCUCCCAAUUUGGUCUUUGCCCUUGCUGUUGCCCAAUUGUGCAUUCUGAUCGCUCGCCCUCUUCCAAGUCAGAACUACGGCAUAUGGUGUUGCUCUGCUCUAGGUGAGUCGUCGUUGGCAUGUCGGGAAUGCCUGGUUCCGCCCAAGUGGUUUCUUCGAGGCCAUCCAUCCAGGCUCUAAGCAUGUCCAUCGCUUAACGGUGUGAUGCCUUCGAGCCAGGCGAGGAGGCAGGGGUCUUCUUUGACGAUGGAUCUGGAUGGAUGUGUCUUUCUUCAAGCCCAGGUGUUUUGGCAACGGCGUGCCUUGCAUCGUCGUCGGUGCACUCUCCUGACCAGGAUAUCGCUUUGGCCUUGGUUUUCGGCGUGCAAGAGGUUAAUGGCAUCUCCAAGCUAUAUGUUCUACGCCAAUCUUUCUAACUAGCUUGUUGUAUGUGCAUUGUGAGCUGUUCCCUGACGCCCUUGUAUCUUUGCCGUCUAUCUUCUUUUCUUUAGUUGAUGAGUGGUGUAAUUUGAAGUUGAAAUCCUGGCCGGUUGGUGGCUUUGUUAAUUUAUAAAGCCGGGUUCUGCUUGAGCCUUCGUUCUAAAAUAUAUAUAAGCAGAUGGUAAACAUGUGUUUUUUAGGUGAAUGGCCCAUUAUUUCUCUCUUUUUCUUCACUCUUCACUAUUUUUCUUAGUUUUCAGUCCUUCUCUUUGGUUAUUCUUCACUCUCCAUUUAGUUCAGUCACUGUUUUUUGGACUUGACACGCAGAAAAUCCCAAAGGAAGUAGCCCCAAACUUGACAUCCCGGAGAGCGGGCCACCGACACAAGGGCCGAGCACGGCACUGCAGGCGAUGACUGCAUCACUUCAAGCAGAGUUUGGAAGGAGUUUCUCCUCAAGACAGAUCUCACGAUAGAAACUCACGUUCUAGUUACGUUCCACUCUGUUGCAAACAAGCGUCGGGUGUCGGUAGUUUUCAAUUGUCCUCUAAAGAAUGUAGAGUGUUCAAUCUAGCUAUCUGGUAUCGUGGCGCAAACUUGUUUGCUGACUGUUGUGGGCGUGCUACGGGAAUCUAAUCCUGUGUGUGCGCGAUUACGUAGAUCAGUUUCUCGUGCCUGGCACCUACCUCCUUUUUUUUCUUCCUUUGUUGCCUGUCUUUCUGUGUGUUUUAAGAUUAUUAUCUCCGAUGGUUAAACAACAUCAUUCGAGACCUGAGGUGCAGGUAUGUUUCCCUGCUGUGCUAUUUCCCUCUCGUUCUAUUCAUUUUAAACAAUAUCACUUUGGAACAUGACAGCGUGCUAACAGCUACUCCCUCCGUUCCGAAUUACUUGUCGCAGGUUGGAUGUAUUUAGAUGUAUUUUAGUUUUAAAUACAUCUAUUUCUAUAACGAGUAAUUUAGAACGAAGGGAAUAGAACAUGACAGCAGUCUCCAAUAGACCUAUUCAUGAAUGGCCCAAUAUUCAUUUGCUGUUUGUUCUUUUAUUCAUUACCAUUUGAUUUCUUCUAGGGAACUUCACUGCCGUUUGAUGGGAGCCAUGACAUUCAUCACAAAUAGAUGGGAUUACCAGGCAAAACCUCGCUAAUAAGGCCCAUGAACACUUUAGGGCAACUCCAAUGGCCGACCCAUUUAGUUGGGUUGUGUCCGUUUGAGUCCGCACCACGCAAACACAUAUUUUAUCUGCUUUUUAUGUCCACGUGAAUGCAUUUUUGCCUUAAAUUUGGACUCGAUUUGCGUCCAUAUGUGUGUCCGCUUAGUGUUCGUCUUGGACCUGCAUGCUGCCGCCCAACCACCACCUACCGGUCCUAUUUUAUUUCACGCGUGCGCUUGGGCCCACACAUCAGCCACAGAAGCCAGUCCAUGCUUGUCCUUUUUAAUGCCACACGUGUAGUGGGAGGGGGGCGCCCAGUCCACUUCCUCAACAACCAUCUUCCGUCUUCUUCUUCGUGCCCCCUUGGUCGAUUCCUCGUUGGUGUGCCGCGCAGCUAACUUCAGCAUGUCGUCGCGCCAUGCUUGAGCCGCCGACAUGCCUUCCUCUCUACGUCUUUGUCCACCGCUGCAAGUACUUCUGGGAGCAUGGCGUGCCGAUGUGGUGGCCCGACGUGAACCUGAUGAACGGGUGGCAUCUCAAGCACGACAGGGUUCCGGUGCCGGUCUCAGACGCGCGCGGCUGGCAAAGAUCCGCCGCCAUCAUGCUCAACUCCCGGUUGAGCUCCGCCAUGACCCAGCGUACACAGUGGACUCACCGAACUGGGACGCGUGGUUCACCUCUAAGCAUGACUUGCACCGCCAAUUAAGCUUCAAGGGUGCGCCCCGUGCACCGCACGAGCUUGCCGCUCCACCACCACCGUUGGUGGUGUAGGAGGAGGAUCGGGCGGUCGAGGAUCCCUACAUUACGGACCUCGAGGAGGCCACAAGGAGGGCCAUUGAGAAGUCCGAGCACGAGGAGCUCGCCAGGUGGCCUGCCUUUCGCAAAUGUUGGCCGAAUUGGCGGCUAGAGUGGAGGCGAACGCGCCCUCACUCCUACCAAACCCGCCCGCGUCCGAGCCAGUGGAGGAGUGGUGGGAGCUGGAGCACCAAUCUUGCUUGUGGACAAGCACGGUGCCCUGCUCGCCCAUGCACGUGGCGUGCACGCCUGUGUGGUUGGGCGCGUCCGAGGAAGAGGUCAAGCGGCACGCGUUGGCUAAGCAGCAAACGCCGGCAACAUUCCAGGAGGCCUUUUCGUGGAUGGAGGUGCCGGUCUUCUUGGUCCUAACCAAAGAGGAUGACGACGACGACGCAUAGUUUUUAUUUUUCUAGUUUAAAUUAAUGUAAGACUUGACUUGCUGGCUGUUUUUUAUAAUUCGAAUUUGCGUCCAAAUGUACAAUGUGUCUGUUCACGUUGGCCGCAUUUAUGAGCCGGCGGACAAAACCAACUCUGGAAAAAAAAGAGGAUAAAAUCCGCAUUCAUUUGGGUCUCUCGUUGGAGUUCCCUUGCAAUAUACUCCCUCCAUUUCAAAUUACUUGCCGCGUGUAUGGAUGUAUCUAGAUGUAUUUUAGUUCUAGAUACAUUCAUUUCAGCGAGUAAUUUGGAACGAAGGGAGUAACAUCAACCACGCGGAGCCGGUGUUGCACUAGCUGCAUGGAAGCCCCCUUGCGGCGCCGUCCCUCCCCCUUGCAUCGUCCCAUGUCGCGGUCACAACAUCGCUCCUCACCUGUCGCAGCAGCCGCGCACCUUUGCCGUAGCCGCCCCACCUCGUCCUCGUGUUCGCUCGUCAUCGGUGCGCCCGCCGGUUCGCAACGUCCUCGCUCGUCCGCUUGCAGUGCUGGCCCACAAGGGAGACGCGUGCGGGUGUGGGAGCGACCGCUCGCACGCUGCGAUCGACCACCCAAUUCUAGCCGUUUACUAUUUGCCUUCUCUUCUCUUAGUACGCUGCUCUGUAGAAAGAAAAAAAAUAACGGCCUCAAUGCUAAGAGGCGUAGCAAGAUGACUCGUGACUGUCUGAAUCGGAGAGGAGUGCUGGAGGUGAACAGAUAUGAAAUAUCGUUAGGACUCCGACAGACCUACUUCUGCGCCCAUUUCAUUUCGCCUCUCAAAUUUCGAUUCGACAGUGGUGCGGAGUUCUGCGAACAGACAUCGUACGUUAUUACGACUGCCUACGCGUGUACCCCGCUACAAAGGGGGCGGGACAAAACCUUCGAUGGUGUAAUAGUUACGAUAACUAGGUCCCAACAUUGAAGUUGCCACCAAUCCAUUGUCGUCCAGCGGUUAGGAUACCUGGCUUUCACCCAGGCGACCCGGGUUCGAUUCCCGGCAAUGGAAUUUUUAUUUCCAUUGAAACAUUUGUUCCUUCGGGUGUCCUUUUCCUUUCCUGAUUAUUCUCUAGAGCAGCAGUGGUAUCUUUUAUUUAUUUGUUGCAAAAAAUACUUCGUAGCUUUUUUCAGCAAUUUGUUCUUCAAAAAUUUUAUCAGAGCUACCAACGAUCCGAAUUUUAUUAGAGUUGCCGAGAAUUCUUUGUUUAUAAUGUGCUUACAGUUAGCACACGACACUUGACAGCAGUCUCUCAGUACAACUAGCUGAUGCUAUCGCAAAAAAAAAAAGUACAACUAGCUGAUGGAUCAGGACUCGGCAUUUGCUCAAUAUUCAUCCUUCGAAUCAGGACUCGGCAUUUGCUCAAUAUUCAUCCUCCGUUUACAUUCUUAUUGACGGGAGCGAUAAAACUGAUCAGAAUUCAUCGGAAUCUCCAGGCAAAAAUACCUUGCUACGAAGGCACAUUAAGACUUUACAAUGCAGUAUCCUCCUUCCAACACCAGCUAAAAACUUCCAAUUUCCAUCCCAGAUGCAAAAUACUGAAGCGUGCCACUCAAACUACAGAAGACUAAUACAAUACAGACUCGCUGUAGACUAGUAAGUACAGUAGUGAUAACCACAAUGACAGCUGAGCUGUGUAACGGGCCAAAGGAAUGGAUGAAUAAGGCAAACUGCCACUGUUCAUGUGCAAGAAAAUAUGACGGACAUUUAAAAGAAAAAUGCCGGACAGGCGACGGGUAGAUGACCCCGCAGAGGCUCUUAGACCUAGGACCAUAUGCAGGCAAAAGCUUUGGAACCGGUGUUUAGUUUGCUGUGAUAGUUCGCUGUGCAGAGCGGUUGAUUAACCCCAUUUGACGAUAGCCGAACCCCAGAUGAGUCCAGCUCCGAAGCCAGAUGCUGCGAUGACGUCGCCCGCCUUCACCUUCCCGCCACGAACAGCCUCGUCCAGUGCUAAUGGAAUGGAUGCCGCACUGGUGUUGCCGUAAUUAGCAAGGUUUGAGAUGACUUUUUCCGAUGGGAUAGAUAACCGACUGGCAGCAGCAUCGAUGAUCCGCUGGUUAGCCUGCAAAACAUCGAUGGGGUCAGUUAGAUCGAUGCUUCAGGUCAAAGAGUUUCAUGGUCGAUAGGCUAGGAUACUCACUUGGUGAAGCAACAGCCAAUCUAUACUGGAGGCAGGUAGGCCGGCCUCCUCUAGCGCCUUCUCGAUGGACUGUGGGACACAACGUACAGCAAAGCGGAAAACCUCCUUUCCGUUCAUUUCGAUGCAAGAAAAGUUGGUCUUCUUCGGUGGGAAGCCAGGGACACCAUUGGUCUUGGAUAAGAUUGAGUCAGCGUUCGAUGAUGAACAAUGCAGGUGCCUACAUAAGUAUAAUCAACAAACAUAAGAAAGUGACCUACUAGAAAUGUAACCUCAACACUUUCUAGAAAGAAGGCAUACUUUUGCCCAUGGCCAUCGCUUUGCACACAAAAACCUAGCAAGCCAUCUUCAUCAGCAUUGCAUGACUGCAAUAUCGAGGAUUUAAAAUUAGACAAAAGAACUUGCACAAGGAUCUUGCAAAUUACAAUGCCACGCUACCACCGAACACCUCAUACCUGUACUACAACAAAUUGCAGUGUCUUACCCAAUAGACUGUACAGAAAGACUACAGCCAACUGAACCAUGGAAAGCAGACCAACAUUUCAGCAAAAAAGAACAGAUACCUGGACCAAAACAGCACCAGCAGCAUCGCCAAAGAGGAUGCAUGUACCUCUAUCUGUCCAAUCCACAUAUUGCGAAAGAGCAUCUGCCCCAACUACAAGGACAUUUUGAAUACCUCCACCUACAAUAGUGGCAGAUAAUAAAUUAUUAAUCCACCAAGGCGCUCAAUAGCAACCCAUUGUGAAUAUUUAACAAGGGAAUUACCUUUGAUAAAACGAGUAGCUGUAAUUAAACCAACAAUGAACCCACUACAGGCAGCAGUGAUAUCAAAGCCAAAUGCAUUUGUGCACCCCACCUCCGCCAGCACCUGUUUUCAUUUUAUCUUGAUGUUAUUUAUGCAAAAAUGGGCAUAUAAAAUGCAUAAAGCACUAGAGCAGAGUGGCACCGAUGAUUAGAACAACUAAUUUACUGAUAGUACAAAACAUUAACAGUACUACUAAACAGGGAAAAAAAUUGAAUGAAAAUACAAAAAUGGAAAGACCAUUACAUAGUUCAUAUUAUUUGAUGACUACGUUAUUAUCAAAUAUAGGCUGCUCCACAAAGUAUGCCAGUGAAACAUUUUUAGUUUUGACUAUCAAAUAUAGAUAUGUAAUAACUUCGAAGUACCAAUAUAGUCAUCACAAAUGAAACAUACUAUCAUCAUCUAUAUUCAUUAUCAUGCAUUACAACAUACUUCCAUAGAAAUCACUUUUCUCUGUUCUAAAUACAUCCCAUUCUAGCUUCUGGAUUUUUGUUCCGAAAUACAUGCCAAUUUACAAGUUUGAGGCAACUACUGCGGUACUGCCAUUGUUUGCUUCGCAUAUCCCUAACAUUCAUUAAUAUACUAGAUUAACACAUAACAUCCAACAUUCAUAAUGAGCUAAUUAUGGAUGCAAAUGUAAUGUGUCGUAUACAUGCCUUAGUUGGAGUGCCCUAAAUUACAGCCAUUCAGGAACAGAGGGAGUAUUGUUCAAAGACUGAAAGCAGUACUUUGGAGACUAUCAGUACUGAAGUGAAAAAAUUUACUGACAGAGAGUAUUACAAUUUAAAAAGAAAUUCCUCAGAUAAAUUAACAAUAAGAUAGUACCAUUUCUACCCCAACUUAUGAUAUACAGUAAAUAAAAAGGAAAAUAUUCUCAAGCAUGAGAUGACUCGCAUUAAAAGCAGGAAUAUGCAGUCGCUCAGACAUAUCAUUGUUUUAAAUAACAUAAGUAGUUUGCAUAUAAGUAUGACAACUACUGUAUUCUUGAGAAAAGACAGGGAUGGCAACUACUAGAAUGAUUUAAUAGAUGUGCAUAGCCAUACCCGACCAGCACCGCCAAAGAGAUCGUCUGGAGUAGAUGUGCAAAAGAGAACAAGGUCAACAUCUUCAGGUCUUACUUGGGCCAUCUCAAGUGCCCUUUGUGCUGCCUUUACUGAAAGCCCUCCCAGUGUUUCGCCUCCUAACACAUUUGAAAAGAACAAAUUACUCCUGAAACAUAAACAAAUGAAAUAUGUCUCCAAAACGGAAUUGUUGCGACUCCUAAGCUUUCUUCCACAAAAUCUGAUACUCUGUUACCUGCCUACUUACACACAGUGGGGCCAACUCCCAAUGAUGUUAUUGAAACGUCUUAUAAUUAGAUAUGUACAUUGACUUAAAAAACAUGUGAAAAGCGCUGCGUUUAUUAUAUACUUAUAAGCCAGCCAGGAAUUUGGUAAGAUACCAAGACAUAAAUUUAUCAGCAUUUAUAUUUACUCUUCUAAAAUCGUUUAUUUAUUAUAUUUACAAUAGCUCGUGCCCACGUCACAUGGUGUUGCUAGUCCUUAACCAUGUAUGCAGAAGGGUGCUUUGCGACAAAUGCUCAUUUACAAUCAUUAAUUGAAUCGAUGUGCGUUCACUAAACUACUUCAACCACCAACAACGACGUGACACACAUAUCAUCCACAAGUUGUCACCUAGCUAAGAGAAAGAAAACAAAUACUACUCAGAAGUAACCAGUAUACAUCAUGCCAGAGGGGCCACAAUUGGCCUGAAUCAGGCUAGCUUACUGAACUAGGAGGGAAAGAAGUGUAAUAGAAAAUACCUGAAAGAACCCGCCUGUUCCGAAUCCCAGUCCGCGCCGCGAUCCAUUCAUCGGACGUUUCAACAAAUUUUGAAAGGUCGUCAUUUGAAAUACAAAGUGAUGGAGUGGCCGAUCCGCUUCCGAUGAGCUUUGAGCCCAUGCCAACCACCCUGCAAUUUCUCAUGGCCGUUAAGAAAUGUUCUACCACGGUAAAUCCUAAAUCAUGUUAACAAUAAUUGAGAUGAGUGAGCCCAGCAACACAGUUGGAUCAAGACACAAGCAACAGCAUUGUGGCACUGCCUACUGCACAGUGAGCUACAAAAAUAGCACCAUCUGCCGCAGCAUUUAUGAGCAAGCUGGGCAGAUCCCCAUCCAUGGUCAUGGAUUGGAGACCACGAGUAUUGCUGGGGUCUAGCGAGCUACCAUCUGCACGACGGCUAUGCAUGAGGGCGACCUAUUCUGGUGACACGCAGUAAGACUAGUGAGAACAAGCAUCGUGGCACCAUCGCUAUAGUACCAAAGAGCAGAAGCUUCUGAACGGUGAUGAGCAUCCGAUCUGGCUACAUAGAACUGCUUCGUUUCCAUCUUAAAACUCCCGUAUAAACCCGUAGCGGUACCGAAAGGAAGGCCCCAGAAUAACCAAAUUCUGCAGCGCGAGCCAACGCAGGCUAAUAAAUGCGAAAGUGGCGCAGAUAAGGGUGGUAGUUGAACCUCCUACCGGAAAGCCACUCACCGACUAACCAAAUCACAUAAGCGAGCACCUGAUUGAGACCAAAACCUGAGCGAAUUGAAACCAAAACCCGAGCCGAAUCACGGACAGAUCAAACUGAAAAUCACGCCCUACUAGUGAAAUCUCCUCGGAAUCAGACAAUGAGGUGCUGGGAGGAAGAUCCUCAGUAAACGAACAGCGCGAGGACAGCCUGAAUUCAUGUUAACAGAGAUUGGAGAAGCAGAGCACAAGCAAUGACUGAGUGAUUCACGUCUCGGCGCGUCGACAUUGCAGGUAGUGAGGCGCGUGAGCGGGGGCAGUGGCGCGGCGUUACCUGGGGAGGCGGGGCCUGGGCGCGGCCGGCGCGACCACGCUGUCGUCGACGGCGGAGGCGCAGCACCGCAGCUGCGCCGCCACGGAGGCCUUAGCGGCUGCGGCCACCGGAGGGGAUCGGAGGAAGCCGGGCCGGUGCCCUGCGCGCGCCCGCGCGCAGGGGAGCGCGGCCGCGGCCCGCGGCGGCGCGAUGCCGGAGGCGGCCACCAUGGCGCGGGCAGCCGGAGAUCUCGCUGCGGCGGCGGCGGCCCCGAGUAAGAGUGAGGGGAGAAUCAGUUGAAAAGGCUAAGAAGGAUGAGCACGGGUCGGCGGCGGGUGCGAGGGGGAGCGUGGCCGGGGGAGUGGAUAUAGGGGCGGCGGCGNNNNNNNNNNNNNNNNNNNNNNNNNNNNNNNNNNNNNNNNNNNNNNNNNNNNNNNNNNNNNNNNNNNNNNNNNNNNNNNNNNNNNNNNNNNNNNNNNNNNNNNNNNNNNNNNNNNNNNNNNNNNNNNNNNNNNNNNNNNNNNNNNNNNNNNNNNNNNNNNNNNNNNNNNNNNNNNNNNNNNNNNNNNNNNNNNNNNNNNNNNNNNNNNNNNNNNNNNNNNNNNNNNNNNNNNNNNNNNNNNNNNNNNNNNNNNNNNNNNNNNNNNNNNNNNNNNNNNNNNNNNNNNNNNNNNNNNNNNNNNNNNNNNNNNNNNNNNNNNNNNNNNNNNNNNNNNNNNNNNNNNNNNNNNNNNNNNNNNNNNNNNNNNNNNNNNNNNNNNNNNNNNNNNNNNNNNNNNNNNNNNNNNNNNNNNNNNNNNNNNNNNNNNNNNNNNNNNNNNNNNNNNNNNNNNNNNNNNNNNNNNNNNNNNNNNNNNNNNNNNNNGACUGACUCACCCACACCCUAUGCGGACUGGCCUCGCCUCGGGUUGGACGGACCGGUGGUACUGGUGGUGGAGCACCCCACGCCGUUUUCCCCUAGUUCUCGACGGAAACCGGCCUACCACAUCGUCGGGGAUACCAUCCAGCGGAAAGGGAAAGCGGUCUGCGGUCGACACGAUGCGGCGCGUACGCUCAUUUUGGGCGCGUGCGCGUCAGAGUACCGUGUGGUCGUAUCCAAGGACUCCGCCGUGGUACCGUGCAGCGCGGCGCCACGUGGCGGUCGGUCGCGGAUGUCAUUGCCCAGCUUCGGACGCAUCGGUCGCGAUCGUGCGUACAGCACCACCUUUGGCGCCGGGCCAGCAGCAACUGUAGCGUACUAGCGUUAACGCCUCCCUCCCUCACCCUCGGUCGCAUCGCUGGUCGCCGGUUAACCACAGGGCCUGUUUUUGCUCGCCAAGACCACAUCCACAUGGACCGUUGAUUCCUAGUACCGGUCGGUCAUCAGCGAACCACCAAACCGCUUUCACUACUACAGUACAAACUUCGACAUGUCGUGUUUUUUCCCGUUUUUUUCCCCUUUGCAAAGACUCUAUCCUCACAUUCUUUUCUUACACUAGAACUCCGGUACGUCACGCAAAUUGGAAUUUCAAUUGCACCGCACAAAUUCGCAGGAGCUUGUUGUGUGGAUUGAUCACACUGAUGCGAUGUUGGUUUCAUAAGAAUAUAAAACGCAGUUGGGUGCAAUUAAAUCAUUGUAAAUGUGAAUCACAACCGUCUAGACCAUUGGUAUCAAUAUCAAUCAACGGCUGAUAUCACGCCUCAAGCCUAGGAUUAAUAAUUUUCAAAAUCGAUACACUAUAUAGUAGUGUAGAUAUUUUGUCAAACUUUGAACCAUUUGACUUCACACAAACUUUAUCCGCCUUAUUGCCAAACACGGUUUUCAAGCAUAGAGAGAGUGAGGGCAUCGGUUAAGAAGGCUAGCUUCACUUGUCGGUCCGCAUAGUCAAUGUAGUAUAUGGCAUGCCACAUAUGAGUUGCACGCCUAUGUAAGGAUAUUGAUUGCUUCUUGAUUGAAGUCGGUACAUGAUGCUGGACUCCCUUUGAAGACAAUUAUCUCAUAAACGAAAAUAAAUGUAUUAAUUUGGAACCACAAAUGAGAGUCGUACCGUUUGAUAUCAUCCUAUUUGGAAAUAUUGUAUCCACACUAGAAGGUUAUACACCAACUGGGGGGGGGCAUCAUGGAGGUGGGAGAGUUGUGAGAUUCUCAAUUACUCGGUACAGGGAAGUAAACUCUUAAUAAUCUAGAACCAUAAAUGAGCAUUACACCGUUCAAACUAGAAAGGUUAUACACCAACGCGGGGUGAGAGUUGUGGAGGUAGAAAAGCUACUAUGAGAUUGUCAACUAUCCGGUAAAAAUGCCUUAAUUCGGACUAGAAUAAAAGCUACUAUGAGCUAAAAUAUUGUUGUCCUCGUUUUUGGGAAUAUUGUAUCCAAACUAGAAAGUUAUACACCAACGCUGGGUGAGAAUUAUGGAGGUAGAAGAGCUAUGAGGUUCUAUAGCGAUAUGUGAGAUCUUGUGUUGGUUGUCAUGGUAGCUCUUUGAAAUCAUUUAAAUAUGGAGAGAAAAAAGUUUGCAUUUCAAAGAUGAAGUUUCUUACUUCUAUGUCAACCCAAUGUGGCAAUAGUAUCGUGCCCUGCCUAACCAAAUAAAUCUCGCUGUCACAUAUGUACGAUGAGAAAACCUAACUUCGCUGUCUCAAGGAGAUGACAUGAAUCUAUGAGGGAUCCUUGCCUAAUCCUCUCAACGGAUGAACUUGAGGAGAAUCGAAAACUUGAAGACUGACUCGAAGAAACGGUGACAUUCGUCUCAGUGCCACCCCUGCAAGGACUACAACCCUAAACUAUCUACUAGCCGAAGAUGAGGCACCGAGAUUCUCCCCCCACCACCAACCGGCGAAGCGACAAGCAGAUAGGAUGCGAAUAUACAGGCUUGCUGAUGGAGAUGAAGGAUAGGAAGAUUUUGCCCUAGUCGCCUGGCGAGAGAGGAAACAAAGGCAAUGGAACGGUUUAACUCUCUUCCCCUAAACAAACGGGCGACCCUACGCGUCCGCCGGCAGAAAUUUAAAAAAGAUCCGCCGCCUCCCUAACCAUUGGAUGGACACAUUAAUGACCAUCCGAUCUAUCAAAAUAAGCAGCCAUACUUUGCAACAAUCUGCUUGUUGCAAUCACCUGAGCCUGUAUUUUUUUAUUUUUAUUUUGCAACAGAGAUCUUAUUGCAGAAUUUUUUCACAACGAAGAUCUUGUUGCAAAAAUUUUAGAGACCACCAUUGUUUGUACUUUUUAAUUUUCUGCAACAGAGCUCUUGCUUCGGAAUUUUUUCGCAACAAAGGUCUUGUUGCAGAAUUUUAAAAAUCUCACGACACGAGCAUGUAGUUUUUUGUUUUUACAACAGUGGCCCCGUUGCAAAAAAUUUAAAGAUCGAUUGCAACAGGGGACAUGUCCUUGAAUUUUUUUGUAACAGAGUUUAUGUUCCAAAAAUUAUUUUCGAAACGGAGCCCGUGAAAUUAAGGAGAUGAUGCCGCUCGCAGCAUCGAUGUCCCUGUAUUUUUUUGCAAUAAAGAUCUUAUUGCAAGAAUUUUUUCGCAACGGAUAUCUUGUUGCAGAAAUUUUAAAGAUCACCCUUGUCUAUAUUUUUUCAUUUUCUGCAACAGAGAUCUUGUUUCGGAAUUUCUUCGCAACAAAGGUCUUGCUGCAGAUCUUGAGGGGGUUCAGGUCCAGAUCCCGUAACACACCAACUGUUUGUAGGAUGUGAUGUGUGAUGCUAUGUGGUCCAAACAGCGCUAUGUGCUAUCCAUGCCACACGAUCAUCACGGAUUGAACGAUGUACGAGGCGGCCGACGCGUGAGAGUUAUCCGCCGGCUGAACCAAAACUUUUUCCUAAACAAAUGCAAGACUAUUUUUCUUGAGGGAACAAAUGCAAGACUAGUUUAGUUUGAUUUUAGCCAAUUUUUUCUUAAAUUUUAGCCAAAUCCUUUUUCUCAACGUAUUUGUCUCGACGAAUCUGAAGAUUUUACACCAUGUGAGCCCUUUUGCUGACCCCCCGGUAAUCUUCGUGGGGCUGACUGAUCGGACGCCCAGGAAUCGUUGACCCUCCACGUGUCCUCCAUCCGACCAUCAGUCCCCUCCCACCCAAUCCCCAAAUCCACACACCCUUUCCCUUCCCACGCAUCCAAACCCCAAACCCCCACCCGCACCGGCGUUCGCCGGAGAACCUCCCCGCCGGCCGCCGCCAUGCCGCCGCCUCUCCAGGCCCACCGCAUGCUCCUCUCCCACCGCCGCACAUCCCCUAUCCCCCGCCGCCGCUUCACCGCGGUCUCUUCCCUCUCCUCCGCCCCCGCCAAGACCCUGGCCCCGGGCCAGCCCGCCUCCUCCAUCCUCUCCAUCCGCGAGUCGCUCCUGUCCGGCGAGAGGACCGCCGCCGACAUCACCUCCGAGUACCUCUCCCGCCUCCGCCGCACCGAGCCGAGCCUGCGCAGCUUCAUCCACGUGGCCGACGCCGCCGCCGAGCGGGAGGCCGAGGAGCUCGACCGGAGGAUUUCCUCCGGCGGGCGGGAUGCGGUGGGGCCGCUCGCCGGGGUGCUCGUGGGCGUCAAGGACAACAUCUGCACCGCCAGCAUGCCAUCCACCGGCGGGUCGCGGAUACUGGACGGGUUCCAGCCCGCGUACGACGCCACGGCCGUGCGGCGGCUGCGCGAGGCGGGCGCCAUUGUGGUGGGGAAGACUAACCUCGACGAGUUCGGCAUGGGGAGCACCACCGAGGGCUCUGGGUUUCAGGUACGGAGGCUCACUGAUCAGAUCCUGUACACUGUUUUGUCCAAGUUCGUUUAAGUUUGCAUCAUCAGAAAAAAGUGCUAAGAAUGGUAGUAGAUGCGUAUUUAUGCUGGUCCGUAGAGGUCGAUAAAAUCAAAUUUGGUUAGUUUGUAUAUUGAAUUGCGAAUACAUGUUGCAAGUGUUUAGUUCGUUGAGGUCAAUCAAAUCAAACUUGGGACUCGGCGACUCAGUUCAUCUGUUGAAUAGCAAAUACAUGUUGCAAGUGUUUAUUGAUGUGAAUGGAACUUCUUGCUGCUUCCGACUUUCUUAAACAUAACCUCGAGUUUCCUCUGUUGCAUAAUAAUGCGGCCCUAUCAGAUGACAUAAAAUUAACGGAUAACACUGAUGGUAUGCAGGUGACAACAAACCCUUGGGAUGAUUCGCGCGUGCCUGGCGGAUCCUCAGGUGGUUCUGCUUCUGCGGUUUCUGCUAGACAGUGUGUGGUGUCCUUAGGGAGUGAUACAGGUGGAAGUGUGAGGCAACCGGCAUCGUUUUGUGGUGUGGUAGGGUUAAAGCCAACUUAUGGCCGGGUAUCUCGUUUCGGCCUCAUGGCUUAUGCUUCAUCACUGGAUGUUGUGGGAUGCUUUGGAUCAUCAGUUUUUGACACUGCAACCAUAUUGUCCGUCAUUGCUGGCCAUGACAAAAUGGAUUCAACCAGUAGCUCUCAUGUAAGGAAACUGAAACUUAACCUUAAUGUACAUCUUACAUUUUUUGUUUGUUUCAAUCUAGAUAUGUUUUCAUCUGAUUUAGCUGGCAAUCGCUUAUACUUUCCUUAGGUUCAUCGAGUUCAAUAACUAUGACUAAGAAACAGCCUUUUAGCAUGCAAGCAUGUAGUACGAAACAUGAAAGGAAGUCAUAUGGCUAUUAACUUGCCUGAGCGACCUUAUCUUGUGUUGACAACUGUCAUUCUUAAUGAGGAGGAUUCUCUCGUUGUACGUUUCCUUCUCAUGAAUCAUGAUUUUUGUGUGUCACUUGUUUGAUGCACUUAUGGUGUUGAACUGUUGCCGACCACUGUGAAAUGCUAUUGCCCAUUUACUUUGUGAGGGCAGAAGGACUACAUACUGCUGCGCAUCUCAACCAUAUAAAAUGCUAAUGCAAUUCACUAUGUGUAAGAAAACGUGCAAUGCACGCUCGUGGUGUUUCUUUGCAAGGCGUUAAAAUUCAACAUUUAUUUUUUGCUGGAUCCACAUCUAUGCAAGCGGAUCUGGAGCUAGUAGAUCUCGAAGCAAGACGGCAAUAAGCUUGGUUCAUCACUGCUCAAUCUGAUCUCUUGUAUCACUUUCUCAGGAUGUUCCAGACUAUAGAUCAGACUUGGCAUCUCUAAGUUUACUAGAAUCAAAACCAUUAAAUAGUGUGAGAAUUGGGAUUAUCCAAGAAACUCUUGGAGAGGGUGUGGAUGCUGGAGUCAUAUCAUCAAUCAGGGCUGCUGCUUCACAUCUGGAACAGCUGGGAUCAGUAGUGGAAGAGGUUUGUUGCUUCCCUUUUGCUGGAAAAAGAAUAAAAUAAAUAAAUAUGGAUAUUUUUUGUUGUCCUAUGAGGGAUUUCUGAAAGAUAAUAAUCACCGAACUAUUCUUUUCAAUACUUUUCAGGUUUCUAUGCCUUCAUUUUCUCUUGGCUUACCAGCAUAUUACAUACUGGCCUCUUCUGAAGCUUCAUCUAAUUUGUCACGCUAUGAUGGCAUCAGGUGGUACCUGAACCUUUCCUUUUCCAAUAAUUUUUUCCAUUCUAUAAAUAUUUAUCUUCUUGGAAAGUCAUUUUCAGGUAUGGGCAGCAGGUUUCAGCUGACGACUUGAAUGAGCUGUACGGAAAUUCCCGGGCUAAUGGUCUCGGUCAUGAGGUACAGUGCCUCCACCGGCCUAACCAAGAUCCUCCUCCCCACUUCUCAGUAUCUGUCCUUAUUGUGAAUAAAUGAACAUUAGUACUACAGAAAUGGAAGCAUAGAAAGCUAUCACACCUGUUUGUUGUGUAUGAGUUUAGAAAGCUGAUUUAACAUGCAUAAAUAAACUUCUGUUCUGUAACCCAACCAACUCUGCACAUGUCAAUCUCAUUGUAGGUGGCACCAUGCUAGUUGGAAUGCUAAUUGUAUUGAUAUUAUGUGUAACACGCCAGCGGAAUCUAUAAUCCCUAAGCAAGGAAAAAGGAUAAUAGUUCUGUAUACAACGUUGGGUAUUACUUAUAUAUUUUGUGUUUUAAGUGGACUACAGUAAUGGUUUGCGGUAAAUCACAUGAAGUAUAAUUUUGAUUGCUCUUUUCAGGUCAAAAUGAGAAUUUUGAUGGGAACUUAUGCAUUAUCUGCUGGAUACUAUGAUGCAUACUACAAGCGAGCACAACAGGUAACCAUAGGAAGGGAGCACCCAGUGCGAAUUUGCACUUUGAUUAUUUUUACCUCUUAACUGACAAAAUUUGCACUGUAGUAGGUGAGGACGCUGGUUAAGAAAAGCUUCGAAGAAGCUUUGGGAAAAUAUGAUAUUCUUAUUUCACCUGCUGCUCCAUCAGCAGCCUACAAGAUAGGUAUGGUAUUAUCUGCUCACCUGUAAUCCUGUCCUCCCUAAAAGAAGUAUGGUCCCUUCCCUGCUUUCCUUUCACAUUGAAAACGUGAGCCCUUUUGGCAGGCGAAAAGACAAAUGAUCCAUUAGCUAUGUACGCCGGAGACAUCAUGACGGUAAUAAACUCUUGAAUGCACUUUUUUUUUACAUAUAACCGCAGAAUUAUCUCUGUUUGCUCCAAAGUAAUAGUAACGUUGCCUGCUGCAUCGUGCGCCUUUUAGUUAUUGCAAAUAUAGUUUAACAUAUUGGUAAAACUGCCAGCUGAAAUUGAAUUCUUUCCACCGUUAUUUUGCGUGUUAAAAGUUACCAUGGUAAUGAGAUCUUAAAGAGCGCAGUGCAAAUCUGGUAUGGCUGAUGCAGGUGAAUGUUAACAUGGCUGGGCUUCCUGCAUUGGUUGUGCCUUGUGGAUUCGUCCAAGGUGGAUCUGCUGGUCUCCCAGUCGGACUUCAGAUGAUUGGAUCUCCCUUCAGUGAGGUAAAAUAUAUUGCUAUUGCCUCUCUGAACGGCAUAUCAUCAUUCCAGGACCAGUGUAGUUCCCCUUUCAGUUGUUUCUACCUAUUUUCUUAAAUCAAGUGAUUCAAUUGAUGACCAACGUUUUCAUAAUUUACAGGGGAAAUUGCUGGAAGUAGGCCACAUCUUCGAGCAAACGCUGCAGGAUCUCAGCUUUGUCCCACCACUGGUGGCAGAUAACUAGCGCCCUUCUCCUGUCUCGUUCAAGCGGUUCCUAGGGCUGCACGGGUCUUAGAGGGUCCCUCUUUUCAUUCGUUCCUGAAGUUUUGAGCUAUAUUUCAUUGUUGUAUGCCGAGGAAACCGGUUCUGCGCAAUGGGGGUGGUCGGUGGAGAUCUCUCCCUCGUGGGGGAGUUGUUGAGAAACAAAAUGAGACAGGUACAUGUGCUGUUUCUGCAAGCCAACUGCUGGAUGCAGUGCUCGCAUUCAGUGUCUGCCCACAUAGUAGAUGAUAAUUUUUUUGUAACCCUGGUUCACAUCAGUGAUAUUUUGCAAAUCCUUUUGAUUGAUUGACUGAUAAUAGUGCAAGCUGUUCAUGGCUUCAUGCCCACCGCGUUUUCGUGAUAAUCGGUGAUCUGUCUGCUCCUCUUUGAGAAAACAGUCAACUCUGGCAGUCUGUGCUUUCAACAGUCUUCUGAUCUGUAUGCGGUUGCUGAGCUGUGCUAUGAUUCGUUGUUGAAAAUGAUCAUCUAAUGAUAUUUUUGAGGUUUCAAAAAAAUCUGAAAAAAGUAUACACACAAUACAUAUUUCUUUGUUUUUGUAUUUACAUAUUUCUUUGUUUUUUUGUGCAUCUCACGCCAAAACGUAUCUCUUAAUGAAAUUUUACAAGAAUGCACCCCCUCUCGUUUGUUUAUUUUUGCUCCGCAUAUAAGAUUUGUUUGAAGUCAAACUACACGAAAAUUGAUCAUAUGUAUAUGAAAAGAAUAUCAACAUCUACAAUAGUAAAGUUAUAUAGGAUGAAAAUUAAUUUCAUAAUGCAUCUAAUGAUAUUGAUUUCAUAUUGCGAAAGUUGAUAUUUUUUCCUAUGUAGGUCAAACUCUACAAAGUGUAAGAAGCAGAGGGAGCAUACAUAUCUAAGGUGUGUGUAUGUUUUUUUCAAGUUAAAAAAAAAUCUCAUUUUCGUUUUAUUAAAGUUUGGGCUCCAUGAAGCUCAAGGGCAAGAAAUCGUCUCAGAAAAAGCAAGUCAAACGAACGCUAUAAAAUAGGCAAAAGCAGGUCCCAAAAAAAUUAAUGUCGAUCUUUUAAUUUACUUCACAUAAAUUCAGAAUUUUGUGUUUAUUUGGUUCCAAGCCGUAACGCAACAACUAAUUCCUCCAAGAAAAGCUGAGAAAGGAAUACAGUAGCUGCCAAAGAGAUACACACAACCAGAAAGAAAGAUACAGACCAGAGUGGAAGGUACAGAGCUGGUUCACAGCGAAGCGUGCCAAAAUACAGGUGCACAACGUCUGGAUAAUAAAUAUGCAACUAAAACUGAGCGUGCAGGGGAACGAAAUACGGUACAAAAGAAUUUUUACUACUGCACAUAGCCACUAGUUUCACCAUCAUUGUUUGGUUCCCAAAGUACAGAGAGAGAUUAUUUUGGGUCUUGGAUGGCCAUAAUUUUAGGCUGCACACAGCCUGAAACAAAAACCUCCGCCACUCUAUAUAAACAGAUUCAAUCCUGGAGCUCCAGCACCAGAACUUAUUGUUUCCACCGCUGCAAGGAGGAAAAACAAUACAACGUUAGAGAAAGAGAG